Molecule: long non-coding RNA, 1581 nt
Organism: Oncorhynchus keta (chum salmon)
Lineage: Eukaryota; Metazoa; Chordata; Actinopteri; Salmoniformes; Salmonidae
Exons: 4
Source: RefSeq, a predicted model, not a curated record
GUAGGAGAGUACAGCUCCUUUAGAGACGAGGAGAUGGAGUAGGUAGGAGAGUACAGCUCCUAUAGAGACGGGGAGAUGGAGUAGGUAGGUGAGUACAGCUCCUUUAGAGACGGGGAGAUGGAGUAGGUAGGAGAGUACAGCUCCUUUAGAGACGGGGAGAUGGAGUAGGGAGGAGAGUACAGCUCCUUUAGAGACGGGGAGAUGGAGUAGGGAGGAGAGUACAGCUCCUUUAGAGACAGGGAGAUGGAGUAGGUAGGAGAGUACAGCUCCUUUAGAGACAGGGAGAUGGAGUAGGUAGGAGAGUACAGCUCCUUUAGAGACGGGGAGAUGGAGUAGGUAGGAGAGUACAGCUCCUUUAGAGACGGGGAGAUGGAGUAGGUAGGAGAGUACAGCUCCUUUAGAGACGGGGAGAUGGAGUAGGUAGGAGAGUACAGCUCCUUUAGAGACGGGGAGAUGGAGUAGGUAGGAGAGUACAGCUCCUUUAGAGACAGGGAGAUGGAGUAGGUAGGAGAGUACAGCUCCUUUAGAGACGGGGAGAUGGAGUAGGUAGGAGAGUACAGCUCCUUUAGAGACGGGGAGAUGGAGUAGGUAGGAGAGUACAGCUCCUUUAGAGACGGGGAGAUGGAGUAGGUAGGAGAGUACAGCUCCUUUAGAGACGGGGAGAUGGAGUAGGUAGGAGAGUACAGCUCCUUUAGAGACAGGGAGAUGGAGUAGGUAGGAGAGUACAGCUCCUUUAGAGAUGGGGAGAUGCUCACCUGAGUAUGUGAGGUGGGGACAGAGAGAUGCUCACCUGGGUAGGUGAAGUGGAGACAGGGAGAUGCCCACCUGGGUAAGAGAGUUGGAGACAGGGAGAUGUCCACCUGGGUAGGAGAGAUGGAGACAGGGAGAUGUCCACCUGGGUAGGAGAGAUGCUGGCAGGGAGAUGUCCACCUGGGUAGGUGAGAUGCUGGCAGGGAGAUGUCCACCUGGGUAGGAGAGAUGCUGGCAGGGAGAUGUCCACCUGGGUAGGUGAGAUGCUGGUAGGGAGAUGUCCACCUGGGUAGGAGAGGUGGAGACAGGGAGAUGUCCACCUGGGUAGGUGAGGUGGAGACAGGGAGAUGUCCACCUGGGUAGGAGAGAUGGAGACAGGGAGAUGUCCACCUGGGUAGGUGAGGUGGAGACAGGGAGAUGUUCACCUGGGUAGGAGAGAUGCUGGCAGGGAGAUGUCCACCUGGGUAGAUGAGAUGCUGACAGGGAGAUGUCCACCUGGGUAGGAGAGAUGGAGACAGGGAGAUGUCCACCUGGGUAGGAGAGAUGGAGACAGGGAGAUGUCCACCUGGGUAGGAGAGAUGGAGACAGGGAGAUGUCCACCUGGGUAGGUGAGGUGGAGACAGGGAGAUGUCCACCUGGGUAGGAGAGAUGCUGGCAGGGAGAUGUCCACCUGGUAGGUGAGAUGCUGGCAGGGAGAUGUCCACCUGGGUAGGUGAGAUGCUGGCAGGGAGAUGUCCACCUGGGUAGGUGAGAUGCUGACAGGGAGAUGUCCACCUGGGUAGGAGAGGUGGAGACAGGGAGAUGUCCACCUGGGUAGGAGAGAUGCUGGCA